This 1254-nucleotide ribosomal RNA is filed under the name Gorogobius nigricinctus. Its description in RNAcentral is "partial 16S ribosomal RNA". It matches the Rfam family "Bacterial large subunit ribosomal RNA", at positions 655 to 2574 of the family's 2925-position model. Lineage: Eukaryota; Metazoa; Chordata; Actinopteri; Gobiiformes; Gobiidae. The record is from RNAcentral.
CUAGCCAGAACCCACCAAGCAAAUAGCAUUUUACGCUUGAACCCCCGAAACUAGGCGAGCUACUCCAAGACAGCCUAUUAAAGGGCACACCCGUCUCUGUGGCAAAAGAGUGGGAAGAGCUUUGAGUAGAGGCGAAAAACCUACCGAGCCAAGUUAUAGCUGGUUGCCUAAGAAUUGAAUAGAAGUUCAACCUUUUAGCUUUUUAUCUCCAGACUUUGACCACCUAGGUCCCCACCCAGGAUAAAAGAACGCCAAAAGAGCUAUUCGAGGGGGGAACAGCCCUCUCGAACAAAGACACAACUUUAAUGAAGGCUAAAGAUCAAAUACAUUAAGGAGCCAUGCCUGGGUGGGCUUAAAAGCAGCCAGCCCCUCAAAAAAGCGUUACAGCUCAAGCAUGACAAGCCAAUAAUUAAGAUAAUAACAUCUAAGGCCCCUUCAUUUAUUAGGCCCUCCCAUGCAACCAUGGGAGAGAGACUGCUAGUAUGAGUAAUAAGAGAAUUAAGACUCUCUCCCCGCAGAUGUGUAUAUCAGAACGAACCCCCACCGAAAAUUAACGCCCCAUAAAAUUGAAGGUAUUGAAUAAAAAUAAAACCAGAAAACCCCUCAACCAAUAGCGUUACCCCUACACAGGACUGCCCCAGGAAAAACAAAAGGAUUAAGAAGGAACUCGGCAAACACCUGCCUCGCCUGUUUACCAAAAACACCGCCUCUUGCUUAUUUUAACAUAAGAGGUCUCGCCUGCCCUGUGAAAUUUUUUUUAACGGCCGCGGUAUUUUGACCGUGCAAAGGUAGCGUAAUCACUUGUCUUUUAAAUGAAGACCCGUAUGAAUGGCACGACGAGGGCUAAGCUGUCUCCUUUAUCCAGUUAAUGAAAUUGAUCUGCCCGUGCAGAAGCGGGCAUAAACACAUAAGACGAGAAGACCCUAUGGAGCUUCAGGCACCACAGCAGCCCGCGUUUAAACCCCUAAAUUAGUAGGACCAAACUGAAGCGCCACCUGUUAUUAUGCCUUUGGUUGGGGCGACCACGGAGAAACAAACAACCUCCGAGAGGAACUGGGACCCUUCCCCGAGACAAGGCCGACAAGCCAAACCCCCAGAAAAUCUGACCAAUAUGAUCCGGCAAAGCCGAUCAACGAACCAAGUUACCCUAGGGAUAACAGCGCAAUCUCCUUUUAGAGCCCCCAUCGACAAGAAGGUUUACGACCUCGAUGUUGGAUCAGGACCUCCUAAUGGUGCAGCCGCUAUUAAGGGUUC